CCCGAAAUUGUACAAAGUAGAGUAGUACUUGAGCCCAAAUAGUUCUGAGAUGAUAGCAAAGAGUAAUGGCCACUGAGCACCAAAACAAAAGCCGAUAAUGACUGACGCCACGUAGAGACCACCGGAAACAUUGAAGGCAAUCAGGAGGUGACCAACACAAGAAAGGAGGAGGGUUAGGGUGAACAGCAAAGGGCGGGAGAAUUUGUACUUUUCAAGACAUGUUCAGACCCAAAACCUGAUACAACUCGACCAAGAUAGUUCCAGAUGCUCACCAAUGACACAAAAGUGCUAAUGCUCUUUUUAGGGUACCCUAAUGAAGUUCCAAUCUGACCCAAGUUGUCUAUAGCUGUUAACGUGCCACCAACACCGCAAAUUGUAGCUAAGAAGAGGAUGAGCAUGUCAACGCUAAAAAGAGCUUGUAGUAUGGUGAAAUCCUCUCCUCUGUCUGGUGGCCUAAAAGCAGUUUUCCAACAAGACACGUUGUUGUUGUCUGUGGUGCUUGGUGAUGACUCCACGGUGACCAAUUUUUUAUCACUAGAUGUAGAUGGCGGGGGAGGAGACGGGGCAGGAAUUUCUUGGCUUGGUGGUGGCUUUUCAGUGACAAUUUUCAAUGGAGAAGGGUCACUCAAGGCUUGCUUUUUGCUAUUCCAAAUCUUGUAUUCUUCUACAAUAACAACACCAAGUGGCACAAGGAGCAUGAGAAUCACCACGGCAGCGGUACCACCAUAUUCACCUCGAGUAAAACUAAGCUUUUUCUCCAGGAUGAUCACGAUCAUCAAAAACCCGGCCAGGGCAAGAGAUAUAUAGAGAAAAUUGUAGAAAACUUUGAGCUCAUUCGGUUGGCGAAUUACCUUCAUGAUUCGAAUGGUACGCAAGAAGGCAAAAGAGAUUGCAGCAGGAAGCCAUCCUAUGAGCAAAAUCAAAGCCUUCGGAUCACCCCCAUAAAAAGCAAGGUAAAAUUGAGUUAUAAUUGCACCACUAAGACCAAGAUAACCCUUCAAGAUCCCUAGCACACUCCCACGGCUUUCAGGGAAAUUCUUGACACAAGUGACAAGAGAGCCAGUGUUGGCAAAAGAUUGAGAAUUAGCGCCUAUAAAUAUGUAGAAGCACAUAUGCCACACUUGAACACCAGUAAUUUUUUUGGUCACGGCAAGCCAUAUCAUGAAGUAACCAAAAAAAUUCAAGACUGCCCCUAUUGACAGAACCACCCAUGGAGGAGUGACCUCAUUGAUUAGGCCCGAGAGGACACCAACAUUGGAACCUACAUCUUUGAAGAAGCUAAGCAAAUUAAGGGUGGUUUGAUCAUAACCCAGGGCACUUUUGAUAUCAGGGGAGUAGAGUGCAAACAUAUAGGUUGCACCAGCAGCCGACAUGAUUAGAAGUGAUGCGAACACCAUGAACCACCGCCCGGUGACGACCUGGGCGGUCAGACUCUUCAUGUCAGCCACACCACCAAUACCUCCACCACCACCUGGACCAGCAUCCACCAUUUUUUCCUUUCUUCUUUUUUUCUUUUCUUUGCGGGUAAUGUUUGGUGACACUCACCCUUAGCUUGUAGUGUGUUGACGAGGGAACCAUGGGGACUCGGGGUCCAUAUAUGUAUAUAUUAUCACAAAAUAUACGAGACGGGAGGGAGGGGGAAAAAAAUCCAACCAGUUGACUAAUGGGGUCUUCCAGGAAAGAAAUCAGAAGUACAAGAAAAUAUGUUUAGGAUCAAUAAUCUUUCUGUGGUUCUGUUUUCACGUGGAUAAUCUUAUCCCUAAGAUAACGCUGAAAGAUCACCCUCUCUCUAUUUUUAUAAUUAUUAAGUAAUAAUCUAAAAUGCGUGGGAAACUACUAGUUUCCCCAUGCCUUUCACUUAUUAAACUAUAAUUAAAAAAAGUUGGUGUUUUACUGUGAAUUAUACUAUGCAAUUCACAGUAAAACACUGACUCCUUUAACAAUAAUGUUUUAGGUGGUUUUUUUUUUUGUUUUUUUUAAGUUGUAUUAUUUUUUUUAGCUAUUUUUUUUUAUGUUUUUUGGGAAUUUCUUUUGCUUUUUUCUUUGUUUUUUUUUCUUUCAACAAAAUUUUUUUGUUUAAUUUAGUUUAUUAAUGUUAAAUUUUUUUAUUUAGUUAUCAGACUUUCAUGACAUGUUUAACGAGUUAACCGGGUUUGACAAGUUAACCUAUAAUUUUUUUUUCUUUUUAUUUUUUUUAAUUAAUUUCUUUUGUUUAGUUUAGUUUGUUAAUGUUAAAUUUCUUUCUAUUUAAUUAUUAGACUUUCAUGACACAUAUCUCGAGUUUCACGGGUUAACCUGGUUUCACGGGUGAACACAAUUAAUUUUGGGUUGACCCGUCAAUUUUUUUUUUCAUAUUUUUUUUUAAUUUAGUUUGUUAAUGUUAAUUUUUUUUUAUUUAGUUAUCAGACUUUUAUGACAUAGAUUCUGGGUUUAACGGGUUAACAUGGUUUGACGAGUUAACCCCGAAUUUUUUUUUUCUUUUAAAUUAAUUUUUUUUAUUUAGUUCAGUUUGUUAAUGUUUACUUUUUUUUUUAUUUAGUUACCAGAAAUUCAUGACAUGGAUCCCGGGUUUAACGGGUUAACUUGGUUUGACGAGUUAAUUUGGAAUUUUGUUUUUGCUUUUUUUUUUUUGUUUUUAAUUAUUUUUUUUGUUUAGUUUAGUUUGUUAAUGUUAAAUUUCUUUCUAUUUAGUUUUUUUUUCUUCUUAGAGGUUUUUUUUCUUUUAUUUUUUAUUUUUAAUUAAUUUUAUUUAAUUAAUUUAGUUUAUUAAUAUUAAUUUUUUUUCUAAGUAGUUCUCGGUUGAUACCUUUAGUUUUUCUUUUUGUUUUUAUGUUUUUGACUGUGGAUUACACAAUGCAGUCUACAAUAAAAAGGCUGAUGUCUGUUGUUUUUUUUUUCUUUUUAAUUAAUUUUUUUUGUUUAAUUUAAAUUGUUAAUGUUAAAUUUUUUUCAUUUAAUUAUCAAACUUUCAUGACACGAAUUUCGAGUUUGACAGGUUAACCUGGUUUGACGAGUUAGCCUAGUUAAUUCUGGGUUAACCCAUUAAUUUGUUUUUUUCUUUUUAAUUAUCAAACUUUCACGAUGUGAAUUCAAUGUAUGACGGGUUAACCUAGUUUGAAGGAUUAACCCAAUUAAUUCAUAUUUUUUUUUUUUUCAUUAGUUUUUUUUUCCUGUUGGUUUUUUUUCUUGGUUUUUUUUUCUUUUUAACUAAUCUAUUUAAUUAUCACACUUUUAUGACACAGCCUUGCAGCCAGACCCACAUCCAAUGCUAUUGGGUCUUAUAUUGCAGUCCAGACACUUUUAUGCUAAGGGUUAACCCAAGUUUAAUGUUAUUAUUAAUAUUAUAAAUAUUACUCUUGGUUCAGGCGUUGCAACCAAACCUAAAAUUCUUGGGUAUAACUUUGCAAAAAAACCUAACACUUUUAAAUCUUGGCUAUUUUUGAAAUGUAAAAAAUAAUUGACCCGCAACAUCGUGCUGGGCAUGUAACUAGUAUUAAUUAUAGUCAGUAAUAUAUAGCUGAUUGAAAAAACAAUCAUUACUGAUUAUUAAUUUUUGUGAAUCACAGGAUAGAAUUAUUACAUGAAAUUAAUUUUAUAGCUGUGUAAGUGUAUCUGACAUCGUCUUUUUCAAUUUUUUUUUUUUGAGGAAUAUCGUUAUUUACAAUAUUGGUGAGGAAUUUAAUUGAUUUCCUUUUUCUUCCUUUGCCGAUGUCUGUUUUGUCUGCUCAACCAACUGAGGAGACAUUAAUUUUGAUAAAUAAGUUUGAGGGAUGACAAUUUUGAGGAACAUCGUUUUUCCUCGUCUCUCUCUCUCUCUCUCUUUAUAUUCUCAAAAAGGAAUUAUGCUUGUUUGCAACAAUACGAGUGACUCCGGGAUGCCAAACUUUGGCAAAAAUCAAAUAACAGAUGAGAUUUGUUACGGUAGAUAAAAGUUGUUUUUUAAAAUAUUUUUUAAUUGAAAAUACAUUAAAAUAAUUUAAUUUAAUUUUUUAUAUAGUAUAUUAAACUCAUUAAAAAUAUAAAUUUAAUAUAUUGUUCAUAUAAAAAAUAUUUUAAAAAGCAGGUAAAACGUGAACUUGAAAUCAUUUCAAAUAAAUGUGAUAUAAUUCUACUGGGAUCGAGGUUAAUAAAUGAAUGAAAUGAGAGUAAAAAUUGAACCACAGACAUGAUGAUAGAUUUUCUUUUAUGGCCAUGUCAGAUCAAUAUAUUCUGUAUGGAUAUAUAAAAUCCCUUUUCUUUUCCAAAAAUACAGAUUCUCCACUUCAUAACUAAAGACAAGCAGUAUAAAUUCUAACUAUCAAAUCAACAUAUAAUAAAAGUAACACUGUUGGCCAAUUAGCUGCGUUGGUUGCCCUCCCGGACAUGCCAGGGCAUCGUCAUAUUGGAAGGUCAAUUUCAUUGACUGUGAUGUACCAUUUUAUGACUCUUAAUUUACACACAAAUUACCAGAAAAUCGAUAAAAAUCAAUAAAAUUAUUGAUAUAAUUUUUUCAUCGAUAAAUUUUACAGAUAAAAAUAUUUCCAUCUCAAAUUUUAUUGGUAUAUACUGACAGACAACACCUGUCGGUGAUACGGUCGGUAUAUACUGACCGUAUCACUGGCGGAUUAUAUAGUUUUUUUGGAAGGUUGCAACGGUGUGAUUACGUGGAUUUUUUUCCAGACAAUUUUACUAAUGGAAUGAACGACGAAUUCAAACAGGGAUCUCCGUACAGUGACGUUGCACAAUCACCGGCGGACUCACGACGGGUAUUUCGAUGAAAAGUUUUCGUCAAUGAUUCCAUCGGUAAAAGCCAAUAUAUACAUACUCGGUCGACACUUUAUUUCUACUUCUUCUUCCCCUUCUUCUUUCUCAUCCCACCUCUCGCCUCCCAAACUGCAGCCAACCACCCAUCACAACUCUCCCCCUCUUCUCAACACAAGCACUCAAGUUUCUUAUACUUUUAUUCGUGGUCACAACAUCCGAUCUUGUGGAUUUUAUUAUUUUUCUAAGUAAAUCUAUCCUUUUUAGUUUUAACAUUUAAAUGUGAAUUUUAUUGUUUUUUUUAGUAUAUAUUUUUUGUUAACGUAUGUACUUGUUUGAUUGUUAUUUAUCAAAGAAACUUGUAGUAUGAAUGUAUAAUUUUGUAGUUGUUAUAGUUUGUUUUAGAUUUUGCAAAUUAUAUUUGUUUGUAAAGUGUUGAAACUUUGUUUAAAUUACACCGAAUUAGAUUUGUUGUGAUGAAAUAAAUAAUAGCUUGUUUAACAGGCCCGUUCUAAUUUUUAUCAAUUCUUAAUACCUUGCUUGUUAAAUGAUUAAUGUAUAUAUAUGUCAAGGUAAAAAGGUUUCAUUAAUGGUGUUAGAAAUAUGUAUAAUAUAAACUCAACAUGGACUUCAAUGUUUAUAUUCAAGAAAGUUUGUUAUUAACAUGUUUUAUCUUUUUCUAUAAUUAAUUCUUAAUACAUUGCUUGUUAAAUGGUUAAUCUAGAUUUGUGUUGUAUAACAAUUGGUACAAUAAAUGCUUGACACUUUCAUAACCAACCGUAUGGUAUAACCUUCACUUGUACUAUGAAAGGAACAGAAGUCCGAAUCUGUCUUAUAGCCUAGACAUUGUUCAGUGUUCAAUCCAUAUCUCGAGUUCCAAAAGUUCAAAUGACCCCAUUCUUGUUUUGUUGGAAAGCUAGGAUAAUUUCACAAGCAAUGUAUUAAAAAUCAAUAAGAUAUAUAUAAACUUGUGAAUCUAAAGAAAACAUACACAUCGCUGCCGACUUCCUUCAUGUGUAGGGCUUUGUGAUGUUCAAGUUGGUCCAGUGUCAUCUUUAUCUUCGAGAGUCAAGGAAUCAAAGAUACUAUUAUAUCUCGGAUUAGUAAGAUAUCUUUUAUUUGGUUCAACGUCCGUUUCUCUUGGGUGGCAGUUAGUCUCUUGCUCUCUCCUUCACUGUCAUUUUGUUGAAUAUUCUAAGGAACUUAUCAGCCAUUUGAUCAGUUAUGAACACAAAAAUUCCAAAGUUUAUUGCUUUUCUAUUCCAUUACUUUCCUUGUAUUUCUUCUCUCUUUUCCUGGAUGUGUGGCUAGAAAAGUUGGUGUCAAUAAUUCUAGCAGUCAAGAGUGACAUCAUCUUUAGAAUAGUCUUGGCAUAAAAAGAGAGAAGAAAGUCCAUGUAUCAAAUAAUUAGUUUUUUUGUGGCCCAUAAAUUAUUAUUAUUAUAUAUAGCUAAAUUAUUAUUCCUGCUGUUUUACGGGUUUUUUUUUUUAAGUUUUUUUUUCCUUCAUUUUUUCUUUGUUUUUUUUAAUGGAUAUUUUUAAAUUUUUUUUUUAUUAAUGUUAACUUUUUUUGUAUCUCAAACUUUUAUAACACGUAUUCCAAGUUUAACAGGUUAACCCAUAUUUUUAUUUUCUUUUUAAUUAAUUUUUUUGUUUAAUUAAUUAUGGGUUAACAUGGUUUCAUAGGUUAACCAAAUUAAUAAUGGGUUAACCCGUUAAUUUUUUUGUUUAAUUAAUUAUGGGUUAACAUGGUUUCAUAGGUUAACCAAAUUAAUAAUGGGUUAACCCGUUAAAUUUUUUUUCCUAUACAGUUAUCAAACUUUCAUGACGCGAAUCCAAGGUUUGACGGGUUAACUUAGUUUGAGGGUUAACCCAAUUAAUUCAGAUUUUUUUUUACUUUUUGCUUUUCUUUUUCUUCAUUUUUAUUUGUUUUUUUUAAUGGAUAUUUUUUUUUAAAUUUUUUUUGUUAAUGUUAAAUUAUUUUUUUUAUCUCAAACUUUUAUAACACGCAUUCCAGGUUUAACGGGUUAACUCAAAUUUUUUUUUCUGGUUUUUCUUUUUAAUUAAUUUUUUUAUUUCCACAGUAAAACACUGAUUCCUUAGGCGUUUUUUUUUUUAAGUUGUCUUAGUUUUUUUAGCUGUUUUUUUAUGUUUUUUGGGAUUUUUUUUUGCUUCUUCCUUUGUUUUUUUUUUAACAAUUUUUUUUUGUUUAAUUUAGUUUAUUAAUGUUUAAUUUUUUUAUUUAGUUGUUAGAUUUUUAUGACACGUUUACCGGAUUUAAUGGGUUAACUUGGUUUGACAAGUUAAAAUAGAUUUUUUUUUCUUUUUAUUCUUUUUAAUUAAUUUUUUUUCGUUUAGUUUAGUUUGUUAAUGUUAAAUUUUUUUCUAUUUAGUUAUUAGACUUUCAUGACACAUAUCCCGAGUUUCACGGGUUAACCUGGUUUCACGGGUGAACCCAGUUAAUUCCGGGUUGACCCGUCAUUUUUUUUAUUUAUUAUUUUCAUAAAUGUUUUUGUUUAAUUUAGUUUGUUAAUGUUAAUUUUUUUUUAUUUAGUUAUCAGAUUUUAAUGACACAGAUCCUGGGUUUAACGGGUUAGCAUGGUUUAACGAGUUAACUCAGAUUUUUUUUCUUUUUAAUUAAUUAAUUUUUGUUUAGUUUAGUUUGUUAAUGUUCACUUUUUUUUUUAUUUAGUUACCAGACAUUCAUGACACGGAUCCCGGGCUAACUUGGUUUAGUUUAGUUUGUUAAUGUUAAAUUUCUUUAUAUUUAGUUUUUUUUUUCUUUUUAGAGGUUUUUUUUUCUUUUUAAUUAAUUUUAUUUAAUUAAUUUAGUUUAUUAAUAUUAAAUUUUUUUCUAAGUAGUUUUCGGCUGAUGCCUUUAGUUUUUUUUGUUUUUUUGUUUUUUUAUGCCUUUGACUGUGGACUGCACAGUACAGUUCACAGUGAAAAGGCUGAUGCUUUUUGUUUUUUUAAUUAAUUUUUUUCAUUUAAUUUAAAUUGUUAAUGUUAAUUUUUUUUUCUAUUUAGUUAUCAAACUUUCAUUACAUGGAUUCCGGGUUUGACAUGUUAACCUGGUUUGACGAGUUAGCCCUGUUAAUUCUGGGUUAACCCAUUAAUUUGUUUUUUUUUAUAAUUAUCAAACUUUCAUUAUGCGAAUUCAAGGUAUGAUGGGUUAACCUGGUUUGAAGGGUUAACCCAACUAAUUCAUAUUUUUUUUUCUUUUUUCUCAUUAGUUUUUUUCUUCCUGUUAGUUUUUUUUUUAACUAAUCUAUUUAAUUAUCACACUUUUAUGACACGACCUUGCAACCAGACCCACGUCCAAUGCUAUUGGAUCUGGUAUUGUAGUCCAGACACUUUUAUGCUAAGGGUUAACCCAAGUUUAAUGUUAUUAUUAAUAUUAUAAACAUUACUCUUGAUCAGCGAUGCAACCAAAACUGAGACUUUGGUAUAACUUUACAAAAAAACCCUAACACUUUUAGAUCUUGGCUAUUUUUAAAAUGCAAAAAAUAAUUGACCCGCGGCAUCGCGCGGGGCAUGUAACUAGUGAAGUAGCUAGAAAUGGAUGGUGUUUAAACUUGAAUGGUCUCUAGGAUCAUGCGUAACUACUAAAAAAAGAGAGUCAUUAGCAUCGCAUGUUAGUAUCAGAAUAAUUUAGAUUCAACUUUAGCAACAGAUUAAUAUCAGAAUAAUAUAUAUAUAUAUAUAUAUAUAUAUAUAUAUUAAUUUUUUAAUAUUAGCAAUGGAUUUGUCGUUGUUAAUAUGGUUGCUGAUAAUUUUUUUUUUUUUUGACUUUUUUAUAUAUAUAAAAAUAAAUAAUAAUUACAUGUUAAUUAUUUAUUAGUCCAUCUAUGCCUUGAAAACAAAAGAGAACAUCACACAUGCAAAAUUCCUUCAUUCUCCAGAAGAACCCAUAUGUCCCUUUCUAUACCUUCUCCAGAAACCUAAUUAACCCAUGUCUCCCUUUCUAUUCCUUCUCCAGAAACCAAACCCAUAUGUUCCUUUCAAUUCCUUCUCCAUAAAUCUAUCUCUGUCACAUGUUAUUUUUCAAAAAUAUAAUUUGUUAUUUUUUUAACUUCUUCUCUUGUUAAUUUACGCUUCCAAGAAUUCCAUCUUGCAGGGACAAACAUGGUGUGAAAAUUUAAGAUAGUAGGUAUAAUAAAAAAAACUCAUAUUUAAGAGAUUAUGUUUGUUAAAUAUGUUAGAGAUAAUAUAUAUUGUUUUAUUAACUAAUUUUAUUGAAUAAUUUUAUAGAUCAAUUACAAAUUAUUUGUUAAAUAUGACUGUCAUGUAUAACAUGUUAAUGUUUCUAAUUUUUAAUGUAGUGUUCUUGAUCUUUAUGGUUCUGUGAUGUUUCCAUUAUUGUUUGGUUAAGUAGUGAGAUUUUUUCUAGGGUUUUGAUUUUUUUGUUUUUUUGGGUGCAUGUAUGUUGUUUUUCGGAGGAGAAAUAUGGGUAAUAUGUCAUAGGAAGGAUGACAGAGUUUGUGCAUAAUCCAUGGUAAAAACUAUGACAGUUGGCUUCCCAGCAAAGCUUCCCAAUUUCUUCCAUACAAAGUGAAAGAAAAUAUGACAUGCAAGUAUUACUCGAUCCAAAUCUUGCGACUUGCAUCAAUUAUUCCUUUUUUACUUAUCGUGACAGUUUAGAAUGGCUGUUGAAUCGGGAUCAGUAUAGCAUUUACUAUCUUUAUCUAUAAAUUUAGUAAUUGAAAUAAAGUGUAAUUGUUGAUACCCGUUUUUUUUGUUAAAAAAAGGUCUAUAUUGAUUUUUAUGUAAAUUUUAUUAGCAUGUUAAAUGAUUAUUUUCUAAAUUUAUUUUUGGGUGGGCAAGGAUAUGGCAAUGUUGGGAUUCCGUAGAUAAGAAUGGCUUCCUUGUGAUAUUUGGAUUACGCAUUUUAGAAACCAAAAGCUUUGCUGAACAAAUCAGUUUCGAGUUUCGACAGUUUGAGGUUUAUGAUUACUGUGAAAUGUGGAUAACUUUUUGAUGCGUUGUUAAAUUGGAGAUUUCUUUAUCAUAGGGAAAUAAGGAAUGCUUGAUAACUUUUAUAUUCAAGAAUUGAACAAUACAUGUGUGAAAUCCCGGUAUAUUAUAACUACAAUGAUGGAUGACCGUGGAACAUAUAUAAUUAUAAAGUCUCAAUAAAUCAUAAAUAAAAUGAUAAACAUUGUCAUAACCCAAUUCUAUGUUAUUCCCCCAAAAUAACUUUUUUUAAAAAAUAAAAAUAAAAAAAUAAAAUAAAGGCUGGCAAUAUGGAGAAAGUAGGCCGGGGAAUUAAGCUGCAAUUUUUUGUACCCUAUUAUGCCCAAAAAAGGAGAAAACAAUGCAAAUUCAAGGUCAAAUUAAAUAAUUAUUGAACGAAUUUGCAUAAAAAUUAAGUCCAAGGACAUAAUUCAAUUUUUAAUAGGCCAAUUUGAUUUAAUCAUGGGUCAAAUUGAAUUUUUAAUUAUGUUUAAGAAUUAAUUUGGGUUCAAUUAGAGGAUUUAAUUAAGUGCAAAGACUUAAUUAUACUUUAAAUGGGUCAAAUUAAUUUUAUUUUGGGUUUAAUUAGUGAAACAUUAAGUCCAAGAACAUAAUUAAAUUUUUAAUAGGCCAAUUUGAUUUAAUCAUGGGCCAAUUUGAAUUUUUAAUUAUGUUUAAGAAUUAAUUUGGGUCCAAUUAAAGGAUUUAACUAAGUGCAAUGACUUAAUUAUACUUUAAAUGGGUCAAAUUAAUUUUAUUUGGGGCUUAAUUGGUAAAAAAAUUAAGUUUGGGAGCUUAAUUUGGGUUUAAUUGAGAAGAUUGGAAUUUUAAAAGACCAAAUUUAAUUUUUACCAAGUUAAUUGAUUGAAAUUGGGGGUCAAAUUGCAAGAAAAUUAAAGUUUUGGGGUCAAUUAGGGGUUAAAUUGAAGAAAUCCGAGACCAGAGACCAAUCUGCAACAGUAGGAAAACUAUGGGGGUUCAAUUGACAAAAACCGGGGGUGAAAUUGAAGAAAUUAAAAGUUUAAUGGUCAAUUAGGGGUUAAAUUGGUAAUUUCCUAGACCAAAGACCAUAGUGUAAAAGGCGCGUAACUUCAAGGUUCCAAUUGAAGUUCAUCAGGGGCUUAAUUGCAUUAAAUCAGAAGUAUAGGGUCAAUUAUGGAUUCAAUUGAAAGCUAUUGGAAGCUUGAGGACUAAAUUGAAAAUAAGUUUAAAUCCUAAUUUAACCUGAAACAACGCCGUUUUGUGUAUUUUUUUUUUUAAAAAGUGAAGACCAGACGACGCGUUGUCUGGUCACUGUUCUUUGUCUUCUUCUUUUACCCGAAAGAAACUGUUUGGCUGCCUACUUUUCAGGUGCAUUUAAUGCACCAAACGUCCACCGAAUUUAACCAAACUUGCACGAAAAUGAUCCUAUACAGUCACUCUACAUCCCCAUGUGAAUCUUUCAGUCUGAAAGACAACAUAUCGGCGCCGGCGCCAGCCUAAACAUGCCCACUCAGGCAGCUUUUUCUGCAGAAUUGACAACUCAGGAUGCCUACUUUGGGCCAACAGUUGAGAUCCUUCCCAACUGAUUCAAUGGCUUAAAUUUUACCCCGGUGUAGACGAGAUUACCCUCUUCCACCGCCUAUAAAUAGAGGCUUCGUUGAUGACCUGAUGGAGGAGAAAAGGGAGUCCAAAGUCGGCCAAAAAACCAGCCUCUCCCCCCGUCUCUAUAGUUUUUUUUCCUCUUCCUCUCUCUCCCCGUCGUCUCAGCCACCACCACCCUCAUCACUGGUCUUUACACAAUCAACUCCACCACAGGAAGCCACCAACCGACCACCGAGAACCUUUCUCUCUCCUCUUUGCAGCCCCUCCAGUUUUCUUCUUCUUCUUUUGCUUCCUCUGCAAUCGGCCGCCAACUCUUCCACCGUUCCUCGCCGCGAUGCCGCCCUGGCCAUCAACGCAACCUCCUGAUCACGUCAGUGACCAUCGUGCCUGGUAGCCUUCUCCUCCGCCGUCCCCUGCUCCUGCCCCCAACUCUCGUGGCCAUUGCAUUCAGAAGACAUUCUGCAUGCAAUGGCAGAACAAUCAAUUGUGAAGGUGGGCUGGAUCUUAUGGGGCCCAGACCAAAUUCAUGGGCCGAAUUCGGCCCACCCCAAAAAUACUUGUCGGGAUGAGAUCAGCCCAACCCUUUUGGGCCGAUAACAACCCACCCUUUGUAGGCUGGGCUUGGCCUAGUUAGUUGGGCCGGCCCAGCCCACAUAUUUUAUAUUAUAUAAUAUAUAUUAUUUUAUAACAUUAUUAUUUAAAAAAAAAUUAAAAAAAAUUCAAAAAUCAUUUUAAUUUUUUUUUUAUUUUCUUAAAUUUUUUUUUAUCCAUUUUGCAUAAUAUCGGGUUGUAUAUUUACAUUGUAAAAUAUAAAUCUGGUAUUAAAAUACCCGGUUUUUCUCCGAAAUAUUUCAAAAAAAUAAAAAUUCAAAACAUUUUCAAAAAGAAAAAAUAUUUUGUUGCAUACGGCCAAAUUCUAAAUUUUUUUUUCAAGCAUAUUUUUCAUAAAAAAAAAAACAAGGAAAAAAAUUACAUAUUUGUCAUGUUUUUUUUUAAAUCUGAAAAAGGAUAUCAUAACCAGUUUAUGAUUAUCCAUUAGGAUUUGGCCAACAUAUUAAAAAUAUUUUUUCAAUUUUUUUUAGGAUCCAGAUGUAAACUUUAAUAUUUGUGGGGUGUAAAAUUACACAAUAAAUUAUACCCUCGGGUAUUAAAGAUACAAGGUGUAAAUGUGAUGCUAAAAUUCAGACUUUAGAACGGUUAGGAUUUAACCCAUAAGGUAGAGAUUUUCUCAUGAAAAGAGAUCUACCUUGAACCUUAGAAAGACCAACAAAAAGCAAUCAAACAACAAUGCAACUUACCUUAGGUAAGGUGCACUGGGGGUGAUGCGUCUUCCCCUUGCACAACCAGUUCCUUACUCAGACUCUCGCAGACCAUAGGUUCCUAGUGACCAUAAUACUAGGUGACGACUUCUAAAAAUUAAUCAUAAUUUUAUGAUUAAAUCCAAAAAUCAUUCCCAACACACACCACACCACACAUAGGAGGCACGACAAGGAGCCUCCUUCGUCGCCAGACGACGUCGCGACCCCCCGCGACAAACAUUAUUCAGUGCUCAUUACAUGCUAAUUUAUUUUUUUAAUUUUUUAACACUAUUAUUCUUAUUCAUUUUUAUUUUUAUUUUUCUAAUUUCAGAUUGUUGAUACCAUCAUCAUCACAUUAUUUAUUUGCAUUUGAAGUUGUCAAGUUUUUAGAUUGUGCAUAUUGGUCCUUCAAGUUUGUCAAUAUAGCUUAAUUUUUUUUUAUUAAUUUUAGAAGAUAAUUUGAUUUGUAGAAAAAUUGCAUCGGUGCCACCUUGAAUUGUUAAAUGCAUCAUUAGUGCAAUGUCAGUAUUGUUUUUUUAUAAUUCAAUUUUGAUUGAUACUCGAGGAUUGUAUGAGAGAGUCCUUAAUCACAGAUUAAAUAACUGGUCGACUGGUUAAUUGGGACAUCAAAAGCUGAUAUUAUGAGUGUGUUUGGUAUUACGGUAGCUUUUGUGGUUACGGUUUAAAAAAAAUUGUUUUAUAAAAAGUACUUUUAGUUGAGGUUGGUUUAAAAAAAUAGGUGUUUGGUUAAAACUGUGGUUGAAAUUGAAGUUGAAGAAAAAGUAGUUUAAUGUGUUUGGUUAAGAAUGCUUUUAAAAUUGAGGUUAUAAAAUAAUUUUAAAAAUAUAUAUUAAUACUGAUGAUUUUUAAUUUAAAUAUUGCUAUUAUAUCUUGAAAUAAAUCAUACUUUAUAUAAAAUAUUUUUUAUUAUUCCAUGAAACCAUUUAUAAUUCCAUUACGUAUGAAAUACAUCCGACAAAAACUACAGUUUUCAUAAUAUUUUUAGCAUGUAAUAAAAUUGGAUAAAAUAUUAUCAGGUAUCAAAUUCACUCUAAACUAGUUUUUUUUUUUAAAAAAAAAAGUUAAAAAAAUAACUCACUAAAAAAAAUAACAUACUACUUAAAAAAAUAAUAAAAAAUAAAAAAGAAAGAAAGAAGGUUCCCGUAGGCAAGUGAACAGUGCAAGAGAAUUGCAUUGUUCACUAUUUUUAAGUGAACAAUGUACACAAUACACUGUUCAUGUUAAUUGCAUUGUUCAUUGCAAUUAACAUGAACAAUAAUAAAAAAGUAAGAAAUGACUCCUUUUCUUUUCCUGUGUUUCUAACACAGAAAUUAAGUGGGGUCCAAUGAACAAUAAAUUGAUUUUUUAACUAACCAAAUAGUUGCGUACUGUGUUUUAAAUAAAACGCAGCUGCGUAGCCAAACGGGCUCUAUGACUUGUAAAAGUAACUGCCAUCAACUAAGAAAAAUGAAGGCAAGUAGAGAGAGAUAUUAGAGGAAAAGCACUCAUUGCUAGCAAGAAGCAAAUUAAGUGACAUGCAAGCAAAUGACAGACAAUCUAAAAAGACGAGGUUUUAGUGGUUGAAUAAUAUUGUGACCACGAGAAUUCCAAGAGAGAUUUCUAGGAGCAGGGAAGCUUUUCUUUUACAAAUAGUGUAAUGUUAUAUCUAUAAUGAAAGAUCCGUCUUGUAUCAUCUUUGAUUAAGUAAUGAAAUUCAAUUUAAGAGAAAAUUUGGCCUUUUUAUUUUGAUAGACUACCUUCCCUCAAAUUGUUAGCAAGGAUUAAAAUAAAUAAAUCCUGAUAAAUAUAAUUUAACUAGUUAAGUUUUAAAUUUGUUUUUUAAAUAUUACCGGUUUGAGUUUUAGAAAUCUCAGGAUCAUUAGAAGAUAUUGUUUUUAAUUUCAUAACUCAUAAAAUUAAUCGAGUUACAUGUAAGUUAGUUCGAAUAUUCAUAUUAAUAAUAAAAAAAUAAUUCCAGGGCCAUAAAGCCAUACUUACAGGCGAAACAGGGACUAAUAGCCUAAACGAUCACAUUUCUUCCGUCUAGGGACAAACCGAUGAGAAAUUAUAUUGGAAAUUAAAGUCCCUGUCAAUAAUAUAUAUAUAUAAAAAACCCCAAUAAGUUCGAAGUCAAUCAUGAAUCCAAAGAAGCAAUUGGUUCCACACAAUUGGGACUUUCUUUUACUCACAGAGUUGGGAACUAUGAAAAUUAAAAAUAAAGAGAAAUGGGACUUUCUUUUACUCACAGAGUUGCGGUCCCAAUUGGGAGCCAUAAAAAAAUGGGCAAAGACUUUGUUUUAGUUGUUGUUUGGUUCCUAUUCAACUUAUUUUUUAUAAAAAAAUAAUUUUUUUUUUAAAAUUAUUGCUUUACUGUUUUUGCAUCUAGUGUAAAAAGUAAUAUAAAAAUAUUAUUUUAAUAUAUUUUUAAUAAAAAUACUCUAAAAAUAAUUAGUAUCACACUUCUAAAUUUUUUUAUUAUUAACAUGAAUGUCCGACCCAGCUUACGCAUAUCUUGAUUAAUCACAUGAGAUUUGAAAUUAACAACAAUAUAAGUCUUCAGUUGCCCUAAAAUUUAUAAGACUUGAAUUGAUAACAUCUAAAAAAACAAACUCAAAAUUUAAACAGUUAAGCUAUAUCCCUAGAAAUUUUUUAAAUAUUUUCCUUUUUUAGUAAAACCAGGAAGCACACACUAGCCAAGUAUUAUUUUAUACAAUGUUUACAAGAAAGCACCAACAUUUUUCUUAUAAAAUAGUCAAGGCCACACAAUAUAUUAUAUUUUUGUUCCUGCCACUGGCCACCACAAAAAAUACAAUCACAUGAUCAUAAAUUAAUGUGUUACAAUUCAUCAAUGGCACUUACCCCCGUAUAAAUUUUAAACUUUUCGUUUUUGCUAUUAAAACCUUUUCUUCGUGGUUGAAGCUAAUAAUUAAAAAUCCCUAGCCAAUCUUUGUUUCCGCCCGUCCGACGCCAUUCCCGGAUACCGCCAUUUCUGUCUCUGCUUCCUCUGCCGCCUCUCGGAACUUCUUGUAGAUGUCACUUUUAUAGAACUUCCUAGUCCUGUACACCAAAAUUAAUGAAACGAAGGUACCGAACAAUGUUGCAGCUGUAAUGACAAUGAAGGACAGCCUGAAGCACUCGGUGCCAUCGCAAUCUAGGGCUUGGCCAUGCUUUCUUAUGAGACCCUUCGCUGCCAAUUGCUUCCUUGCCUCUUUAUCAUAUAAAUGCCCCGUCAGUUUCACAUUAAGUAGAUAUAGCCCAACAGGGCUGGCCGCAGCUCCGAAAUUGUACAAAGUAGAGUAGUACUUGAGCCCAAAUAGUUCUGAGAUGAUAGCAAAGAGUAAUGGCCACUGAGCACCAAAACAAAAGCCGAUAAUGAUUGACGCCACGUAGAGACCACCGGAAACAUUGAAGGCAAUCAGGAGGUGACCAACACAAGAAAGGAGGAGGGUUAGGGUGAACAGCAAAGGGCGGGAGAAUUUGUACAUUUUCAAGACAUGUUCAGACCCAAAACCUGAUACAACUCGACCGAGAUAAUUCCAGAUGCUCACCAAUGACACAAAAGUGCUAAUGCUCUUUUUAGGGUACCCUAAUGAAGUUCCAAUCUGACCCAAGUUGUCU
This 16192-nucleotide long non-coding RNA is filed under the name Populus tremula. RNAcentral describes it as "long non-coding RNA (PTRE_LNC002731)". The record is from RNAcentral. Lineage: Eukaryota; Viridiplantae; Streptophyta; Magnoliopsida; Malpighiales; Salicaceae.